Molecule: ribosomal RNA, 433 nt
Filed under: uncultured bacterium
Lineage: Bacteria
Description: partial 16S ribosomal RNA
Rfam family: Bacterial small subunit ribosomal RNA
Source: RNAcentral
AACGAACGCUGGCGGCAUGCCUAACACAUGCAAGUCGAACGAGACCUUCGGGUCUAGUGGCGCACGGGUGCGUAACGCGUGGGAACCUGCCCUUAGGUUCGGAAUAACUCCCCGAAAGGGGUGCUAAUACCGGAUAAUGUCUUCGGACCAAAGAUUUAUCGCCUUUGGAUGGGCCCGCGUUGGAUUAGCUAGUUGGUAGGGUAAAAGCCUACCAAGGCGACGAUCCAUAGCUGGUCUGAGAGGAUGAUCAGCCACACUGGGACUGAGACACGGCCCAGACUCCUACGGGAGGCAGCAGUGGGGAAUAUUAGACAAUGGGCGAAAGCCUGAGCCAGCAAUGCCGUGUGAGUGUUGAAGGCCUUAGGGUUGUAAAGCUCUUUUACCCGGGAUGAUAAUGACAGUACCGGGAGAAUAAGCUCCGGCUAACUCCGUG